AAUCAACGCUGGCGGCGUGCCUAACACAUGCAAGUCGAACGCGAAAGUGGAGCAAUCCAUGAGUAGAGUGGCAAACGGGUGAGUAACGCGUGGGCGACCUACCUUCGAGUGGGGAUAACAUUCCGAAAGGAGUGCUAAUACCGCAUGACAUCCUUUGUUUAGAUACAGGGAGAUCAAAGCCGGGGAUCGUAAGACCUGGCGCUUGAAGAGGGGCCCGCGUCCGAUAGCUAGUUGGUGAGGUAACGGCUCACCAAGGCUUCGAUCGGUAUCCGGCCUGAGAGGGCGGACGGACACACUGGGACUGAGACACGGCCCAGACUCCUACGGGAGGCAGCAGUGGGGAAUUGUUCGCAAUGGGCGCAAGCCUGACGACGCAACGCCGCGUGGAGGAUGAAGACC
This 399-nucleotide ribosomal RNA is filed under the name uncultured bacterium. Its description in RNAcentral is "bacterial SSU rRNA". It matches the Rfam family "Bacterial small subunit ribosomal RNA", at positions 32 to 416 of the family's 1533-position model. The record is from RNAcentral.